UCCAGAGGUCUCAAGCGUUGUUCGGAUUCAUUGGGCGUAAAGGGCGCGUAGGCGGCGGGGUAAGUCUGGUGUGAAAUCUCGGAGCUCAACUCCGAAAUUGCACUGGAUACUGCUCUGCUUGAGGGUUGGAGAGGAGAUCGGAAUUCACGGUGUAGCAGUGAAAUGCGUAGAGAUCAUGAGGAAGACCAGUGGCGAAGGCGGGUCUCUGGACAGUUCCUGACACUGAGACACGAAGGCCAGGGGAGCAAACGGG
Molecule: ribosomal RNA, 253 nt
Filed under: uncultured bacterium
Lineage: Bacteria
Description: partial 16S ribosomal RNA
Rfam family: Bacterial small subunit ribosomal RNA
Source: RNAcentral